This 30-nucleotide non-coding RNA is filed under the name Mus musculus (house mouse). Lineage: Eukaryota; Metazoa; Chordata; Mammalia; Rodentia; Muridae. The record is from RNAcentral.
UGACUCCAUAAGGUGGGAAACCUACAACAG